Molecule: ribosomal RNA, 1010 nt
Filed under: Pseudomonas sp. YSA5_2B11
Lineage: Bacteria; Pseudomonadati; Pseudomonadota; Gammaproteobacteria; Pseudomonadales; Pseudomonadaceae
Description: bacterial SSU rRNA
Rfam family: Bacterial small subunit ribosomal RNA
Source: RNAcentral
GAUGCAGUCGAGCGGAUGAGAAGAGCUUGCUCUUCGAUUCGCGGCGGACGGGUGAGUAAUACCUAGGAAUCUGCCUGGUAGUGGGGGACAACGUUUCGAAAGGAACGCUAAUACCGCAUACGUCCUACGGGAGAAAGCAGGGGACCUUCGGGCCUUGCGCUAUCAGAUGAGCCUAGGUCGGAUUAGCUAGUUGGUGAGGUAAUGGCUCACCAAGGCGACGAUCCGUAACUGGUCUGAGAGGAUGAUCAGUCACACUGGAACUGAGACACGGUCCAGACUCCUACGGGAGGCAGCAGUGGGGAAUAUUGGACAAUGGGCGAAAGCCUGAUCCAGCCAUGCCGCGUGUGUGAAGAAGGUCUUCGGAUUGUAAAGCACUUUAAGUUGGGAGGAAGGGUACUUACCUAAUACGUGAGUAUUUUGACGUUACCGACAGAAUAAGCACCGGCUAACUCUGUGCCAGCAGCCGCGGUAAUACAGAGGGUGCAAGCGUUAAUCGGAAUUACUGGGCGUAAAGCGCGCGUAGGUGGUUCGUUAAGUUGGAUGUGAAAUCCCCGGGCUCAACCUGGGAACUGCAUCAAAACUGGCGAGCUAGAGUAGGGCAGAGGGUGGUGGAAUUUCCUGUGUAGCGGUGAAAUGCGUAGAUAUAGGAAGGAACACCAGUGGCGAAGCGACCACCUGGGCUCAUACUGACACUGAGGUGCGAAAGCGUGGGAGCCAGGAUUAGAUACCCUGGUAGUCCACGCCGUAAACGAUGUCAACUAGCCUUGGAAUCCUUGAGAUUUUAGUGGCGCAGCUACGCAUUAAGUUGACGCCUGGGGAGUACGCGCGGUAAAACUCAAAUGAAUUGACGGGGCCCGCACAAGCGGUGGAGCAUGUGGUUUAAUUCGAAGCAACGCAAUUACCGGCCUUGACAUGCAAGAACUUUCAAGGAUGCCUUCGUCUGACUGCAUGGUGUCGUCAGCUUGCGAGAGGGAUCCCGAGCCUGGGGUCUGCUGGGGGGGCAAUAAAAC